Medicago truncatula (barrel medic) is the source of this 3413-nucleotide RNA transcript. It is a transcript of the gene named testis-expressed protein 10 homolog, with no coding region annotated. The transcript has 21 exons. The record is from RefSeq and is a predicted model, not a curated record. Lineage: Eukaryota; Viridiplantae; Streptophyta; Magnoliopsida; Fabales; Fabaceae.
CGAUUAACGAACUCACAUGGAUGAAAGGUAAAUCCAAACCCUACAAAACUUGCUGUCAAUACUCUCUGAAAUCAGUGACAAGUUUAACCGCAAACUACACUGUUACACACGCCUCUCUUCUCCCUUACGGCCUUUCAUCAGCUUCCGGUACUCCCACUGUUAACUGCAAAAAACACCGCCACUGCUUAUACCUUAAACUCAACUCUGCUGAAAAAUUUAAACAAACCUUUUGCUUCUUCUUCUGCUUCUCCCACUUUCAAGUCUCCGCAAGAUGACUCGUCCCAAAGCCAAAUCCAAGAAAAAGAGCGGCGUCGUUGAUUUUAAGAAAAGAAAGGUUAAGAUUGGAAGGAAAUUGCCACCGCCUAAGAAUGCAACAAAUACCGAAGUUAAAUCUAAAGCAAUUAUUCUUCCGGAGCAGAGUGUAGCAGCUGAUAAGGCAGGUUUAGCCGUAAACAAGAAAGGUUUGACUUUAAAAGAACUUCUUAGUCAAACAUCUCAUCACAAUGCAAAAGUUCGAAGAGAUGCAUUGAUGGGUAUUAAGGAUUUAUUCAGUAAACAUCCAGAAGAACUGAUGUUGCAUAAGUAUCGUGUUGUAGAAAAACUUCGCGAGCGCAUUGGCGAUGAUGAUAAAGUGGUUCGCAGAUCAUUAUAUGAUCUUUUUAAACUAGUGAUUUUACCUAGUUGCAAAGAGGAUAAUCAAGAGCUGAUCACUUCUUUAUUGAUGGCUUACAUAUUUAAUGCAAUGACACAUUUGGCAGCUGACAUUCGGUUCAUGGCAUUUGAUUUCUUAGACCUUACUCUUGAAUAUUAUCCUCCUUGCUUUUCUUCUUAUGCAGAAAAGAUUUUUCAGAAUUAUGAGGAUAUCCUAAGGAAGAACCAGUACCAUUUACAGGACAAAGAAAAACUAAAGGAUGCUCUUACCGGAUUGGUUCGCUGCCUGUCACUCUUGCCAUGGAACAUAGAAGAACCUGAUUUGCAAAAUAAGGAUGAUAUUGGACAAAGAGUAUUGCAUGCUUUUGAAGCUGAUAACUCUAUGAGCUCUACUGGUUUUUCUCAUAUCAUAAUGAAACUGAAGGAUCUAGUGCCAGUAUUAGUAAAUAGUUUUCAGGAAUUUACUACAUUGUUUAAUGCUAGGGAGAAUCUUGAAGGGAAGUCUUUUGGCUGUAUGGCAUCAAUUCUUCAUAGCAUAGAUCUUAUAGUCAGGUCCUUCGUUUAUGGGAUUGAUAAGAAGUCGGAAUGCACAAGUUCUCAAGGUGGAGGCGAUGUGGCUGUAUGGGAUGUAUCUGUAUCUUCCACAUUCUUGAAGAAAUUAUUUCCUCUUUUCCCCCUUGAUCCAGGGCAUGGUCUUUCACAAAAGGAUGAUGGUAGAUUGCUUGAUUUGAACAUGAUGAUUGCAAAAAUAUUUUAUGAAUUAAAUGAAUGGAUCUGCCUUCCUCCUUUUUUGUUGGAGAAAUUUCUAGAAUUUCUUGAAAAUGCACUUCUUGGGAAGUUUGGCUCGACUGCUCAGUCUGGUAAGACUGUCUGGGAAAAACAUUUAGUUCAACUCAUUCCAUUUAUUCCGAAAUUUAUUUCACGUGGAGCAAGCGUCUGGACGUCUCGUCUUCUUUGGGCAUUUACCCAUACAUUCAAGGAAAGCAAGCCAAGUUCCUUAUUAAAACUGGCAUGUCUCUCUGCAAUGGAAGAUAUGCUAACUUCUAUCCAAAAAAUGCUUUCCCCGGAGACAAACAAUCUAGGAAAUGUAGAACUUCAAGAAGCUUUGUGUGCAUGGAUCACAGAGCUUCCUGUGUUGCUUAUCCAGCUUGGUGAUAAACACCCAACAUGCUCCUCGGCUUUAGUAAGGCUUCAGCUUCGUAUCGGACAACGUGCUUUGUUGAACUCGGCACUUGUUUGCGUUUAUGACAACAUGCAAAAUUCGUUGCAAGAAUUUUAUUCUACGUGUCAAGGAGAAAAUAUAUGCUAUGGUCCUUUUCUCAGACUUCCUAGAGAAUCUCAAGAGCUCUCAUUAUGCUGCCUUUACUAUUUCUCUCAUUUGGACUUGCCUUUUUUGAAGUCAUUAGCUGGCUGUUGCCUAAGUCCUGAUCUAGAUCCCUAUGUGUUAUUUCGGACCAUAGAGAUUCUCAAUUCAGCCUAUAAAGAUGGACAUAUAAAUAUUGCAGAUUACUUGAGUGUCUUCAUCACCUUGGCCUUGCGUUUCAAAGUUUCAUCCGAAGUUGAUGCUGCUGGUUUGAAGGGUGAUGCACUCUGCAAUACUUUGAAGUCAGUGACAUCCGUUCUUUGCUCAUACAUGGAACAGAUCGGCAAUAAUUCUCUUGUUCUACAGAUUAUAGAGAAAGUGAUAAUUGAUCAAAUACUGCUAAAGCCUUCUUUGGAUAAUAGUUGUUCUCUCCUAAGAAUGCUUGUUACGGUGGAUUCCAAACCCACAAGACUUUCUGAACAAAGCAUUAUCACUCUUGGCCCUUGUCUUUCUGAAUAUAUAAUGGAUGCUGUGCAGCACAUUCCGGAAGAUGGUGAGGAGCAGCGCAUUUCCACCAAUUGUUUAAGUACCAUUUAUUAUCUCCUACCUUGUUUUUUCUUGUUUGAUCGGUGCCAUAAACUUAUGGGUUAUGUAUUGAAGACAAUGGAAUCAGCUAUAACUGAAAGUAGUUUGUCACUGGAAAAUGGUAAUGGCACUCAACAUAUGGGGAACUGCUUGACUAGGGUAAACACUGUUGCAUCUGUACUUGUGUUGAUGCACAAGGAUGCAAAAUUGCAAGGAAUUAUGUCUGAAUUCAAGGAAGAUAUUGAUAGCAUCAUACAAAAAGUUCGUUUCUUACAGUCUUCAAGGCAAAUUAGUCUGACAAUUGAAGAAAGGCCUAAAGUACAACUCACACUUGAUCAAUUGAAUAUUUUAACAAGAUAACAAUGGUCAAGAAGGGUGUUUUUGAGCGAGAAACUUGUACACACAUUGUGGCAUAGAAGCAAUUCCUCUAUUGUCAUAUUGACAGGUUGAUAUGGUGGAACUUGGGAACUGUUUUAUGAAUCUCAGUGGAGUAUUCAUGUAAUUGUUAACAUCUAACCUUUUCCGGAGUUUAUUCUGCAAGCAAUUUUGAGGUCUGCUAACGGCGGUUUGUUAUACGGUCAUGAAAUAUAAAUUUUGCCCCUUUCUGCAAGCAAUUUCAAGGUCUGCUAACAGCGGUUUGCUAUAUGGUCGAGAAAUAGAAAUUUUGCCCCUAUAGUCAGUAACUAUGUAUAGUUCCAUCAGUUAGCCUCUGAUGAUGAGCGUCUGUGAUCUUCCACUUAACAUGCCAUUAUUUGCGUUAUGUUUAUUGCCCAUAGUUAAGUGAUAUGGAUAUUUUGUUUUGCAUGCAUAUUUGUUCAAGGUUUGAUUAAUGAGUUCGCAGUGUCAAUAUGCAUUUUUAAGUCAAGUUGGCCAA